GCCGGGUGUGGUGGCUCACGCCUGUAAUCCCAGCACUUUGGGAGGCUGAGGCAGGCGGAUCACCUGAGGUUGGGAGUUCGAGACCAGCCUGACCAACAUGGAGAAACCCUGUCUCUA
Unclassified non-coding RNA from Macaca mulatta (Rhesus monkey), 117 nucleotides. It matches the Rfam family "Metazoan signal recognition particle RNA". Rfam says of the family: The signal recognition particle (SRP) is a universally conserved ribonucleoprotein. It is involved in the co-translational targeting of proteins to membranes. Lineage: Eukaryota; Metazoa; Chordata; Mammalia; Primates; Cercopithecidae. The record is from Ensembl.